ACUAGGUUGAAAUCAUUCCAUUUCUUGCCUUCAAAUGGUUCUGCUGGAGGAAUACUAACAGCUUGGAACGAUCAAGACUACUCCUGCACUUCUGUCACUGCUCUUAAGUUCUCCUUAACCUUACACUUCUCGGCCAGAGCUAGCAACGAUGAUUUCUCGAUCUCUAACAUUUAUGGUCCUUGCGUCAGCCUUGAGAAGAAAGCGUUUGUUGACGAACUUCUUCUCUUAGGCUCCUUUGUAACCGGCCCCUGGGCUCUUUUAGGCGAUUUCAACUUUACUCUAAAGCCAAACGAGCGCUCGAAUGACAACUUUAACCAUUCCGAAGCCUUUCUCUUCUCGUCUACCUUAAACCGUCUUAAUCUUCAGGAGCUUCCCCUUCUCGAUAGGCUAUUUACUUGGUCUAACCAACAAGACUCCCCGACUUUGGUGCCCUUGGAUAGG
RNAcentral lists this ribosomal RNA (441 nucleotides) under Triticum aestivum (bread wheat). Its description in RNAcentral is "partial small subunit ribosomal RNA". The record is from RNAcentral. Lineage: Eukaryota; Viridiplantae; Streptophyta; Magnoliopsida; Poales; Poaceae.